RNAcentral lists this ribosomal RNA (254 nucleotides) under uncultured bacterium. RNAcentral's name for it is "partial 16S ribosomal RNA". It matches the Rfam family "Bacterial small subunit ribosomal RNA", at positions 524 to 776 of the family's 1533-position model. The record is from RNAcentral.
UACAGGGGGGGGCAAGCGUUGUUCGGAAUUACUGGGCGUAAAGGGCGCGUAGGCGGCCUUCUAAGUCGGACGUGAAAUCCCUCGGCUUAACCGAGGAACUGCGUCCGAUACUGAAAGGCUUGAAUCCGGGAGAGGGAUGUGGAAUUCCAGGUGUAGCGGUGAAAUGCGUAGAUAUCUGGAGGAACACCGGUGGCGAAGGCGGCAUCCUGGACCGGUAUUGACGCUGAGGCGCGACAGCGUGGGGAGCAAACAGG